GUGCUCACUUCAGCAGCAUAUAUACUAAAAUUGAAACAAUACAGAAAAGAUUAGCAUGGCCUCUGCACAAGGAUGAUAUGCAAAUUCAUAAAUCGUUCCAUAGUUUU
Bos indicus x Bos taurus (hybrid cattle) is the source of this 107-nucleotide small nuclear RNA. The record is from Ensembl. Lineage: Eukaryota; Metazoa; Chordata; Mammalia; Artiodactyla; Bovidae.